Arachis ipaensis is the source of this 1146-nucleotide non-coding RNA. Lineage: Eukaryota; Viridiplantae; Streptophyta; Magnoliopsida; Fabales; Fabaceae. The record is from RefSeq and is a predicted model, not a curated record.
CAAUUUGUAUGAUACGAAGUUUUCUAUUAAUUUGGAGUCUGAUUAUAGAGAGAAAAGGCAUGAACCAAUGGGAAUUGAGUUUUUUAACCGAGGGAGAUAAUUUCUUGGAAAAUGGUGAAAAAUGCAGUUUGGCUUUGAACUGGGAGAGUUUCACACAUUUAAUGUGGACUAUGUGUCAAACAUGGUAGAUAUGUGUUGGAAACCAAAGGAGAAAGACCUUAAAAACUUGAAACAUAAAUAUACAUGUUUCAAAUUUUAUUUUAUUUUUUUGAAAACCUCACUAAUUUUUGACAUGAUCCAUGCAGUAUGAUAAGGAAGCUUUAUUAAGAUUAGAUCUUGCUCUCAAGUCAAACAAGGCACAACCUGAGUUUUUCUGCAAACAGCUGACAGCUAGUGAUACAAGCGCACAUGGAGGUUUCUCUGUGCCUCGCCGAGUAGCAGAGAAAAUAUUCCCUCCUCUUCUAAGCGUAAUUACUAUUUCAGGUAGUUGAAUAAAAUUUUCAGGCUUUGAUCUUUUACAUGUUUUCAUGUAGGAUUAUUCUAUUCAACCUCCUGUACAAGAACUUGUGGCUAGGGAUUUGCAUGAUAAUGUUUUGACUUUUUGUCAUAUAUAUCGAGGGCAACCAAAGCACCACUUGCUUACAACUGGAUGGAGUCUAUUUGUCAGUGGAAAGAGGCUCUUUGCUGGAGACUCUGUUUUAUUUAUACAAGAUGAAAAAUAGCAGCUUCUUUUUGGCAUCAGGAGAGCUAACAGGCAACCAGCCAACAUAUCAUCCUCGGUAUUGUCAAGUGAUAGUAUGCAUAUUGGGAUUCUUGCGGCAGCUGCUCAUGCUGCUGCAAAUAAUAGUCCCUUUACUAUCUUUUACAAUCCUAGCUAGGUGAGUAUCUUUACUUUUCUUUAUGCUAAUUUAUCAGUUCGUGUAUGUUUGUUCAAUUACAGAGGCAUGGAUCAACUAAUUGUUUAAUGAACUCCUGUUCUCAAUUAUAAAGUCUUGAACUCAAAAUCUUUCUUUCGUUUGUUGGGCUAGUCCUUCUGAGUUUGUUAUUCCUUUAGCCAAGUACUACAAGGUAGUGUUUCUAUUCUCCUUUUCAGAGUUUGUGAGAUGGAAAAAUUCACAAUGGCGUAUUUGCAGGUAUAAUUUCUAU